GUUAACUUUUAAGAUUAAAGUCUUACAUAACAUUAACUUUAACAGUCUCACCUGAGAUACUCAGUUUGCAAUAAUGCUAUGUGUUGUAUCUAAAAUAAAUUCACACACAUUACUGAAUUUCCCUUGGAAAAUUUUGACUUUAACCAUCUUCAUGUGAAGUUAGCAGGUUUUUCUUUCUAUCACAUACUGUGAUAUUUGACUAUAUUUAGACAAACAAACUUAAAGGGACGCUCCACUUUUUUGGAAAUAGGCUCAUUUUACAACUCCCCCAGAUCAAUGGGACCAAAAACUGUCUGGUUACUGACAUUCUUCUAAAGACCCGGAGAUCGGCUGAACGGAUUCGAAAAUGGUAAAACUGUUUAACUCUGGGGGAGUUGUAAAAUGAGCCUAUUUCCAAAAAAAAAGUGGAGUAUCCCUUUAAGCUGUAGAGAAGGAACCAACUACGGUAGUUAAUUAACUAUCUACAGGAUGCGCUUGGAAUGUUAACCUGCAGACACUCGGAACUCCAUGGCACUUGACCCUGAUAUAACUUUUGUAUUCUUAGAACAUUUCUAUGUUUACAUAAGUGCAUUGGGUUACAAUGAACAUGUCAAUAUGUAACACUGCUACAUAAAAAGGAUAAACAACUGUCCCUUGAGUAGCUAGAUAAACCCAAAUCCAGUGUCUGCUGUACGAACAGCUCCUUCAAGAGCUUCUUUAAAUUUGCUGUAGCCUGUAUGAUCUCCCGGAAUUUGCAAGGUCUCAUAGCAGGUCUUGGACUUUGGCAGCAGACCAGAGGUAACCUUAAUGUAGAGGUGUUGUGGAAAGAUCACCCAGCCAACCCAAAACUUGAGGAGGUCUUUCAAACUUUCUGAAUUGGCUAUGGAAAAAUGACAUGAAAACAACAUUUAAAAAUCCAUUAUGGUCUGUUUUCUGUAUGAAACUUCAUUGUUUUAAUCUCACAACCAAUACACAAUUUACAGACAAUAGAUAAAUAAAAGUACUGACAUUGACAGUUAUAAUAAUCCACCUAACUCAUUAUCUCCACAAAGGA
Cyprinus carpio carpio is the source of this 1033-nucleotide long non-coding RNA. NCBI's taxonomy places the organism in Eukaryota, Metazoa, Chordata, Actinopteri, Cypriniformes, Cyprinidae. The record is from Ensembl.